Cucurbita moschata (crookneck pumpkin) is the source of this 358-nucleotide long non-coding RNA. RefSeq lists it as uncharacterized. The transcript has 2 exons. NCBI's taxonomy places the organism in Eukaryota, Viridiplantae, Streptophyta, Magnoliopsida, Cucurbitales, Cucurbitaceae. The record is from RefSeq and is a predicted model, not a curated record.
GGCAACACCAUUAAGGAUGGAGCCAAUCAAGAAUGAAAGACCUCCAAAAAACAUGGAUGGUUUUCGGCCAAAUUUCCGGGUGAUGAUCGAGGCACCAAAGGAUGCCACCAGAGCAGCCAGGUAAAGAGAAGAGGGAAAUCCCCAAGUUGUUAGGAAGGGUGGGAGGAGAUGUUUCAAGUUGGAGGAUGUUUCCCGAUGAUCACAUUAUGCAGAUUCAACUGGUAAAACUUGGCGGAUCACAGUCUUCAUGAUGUGAGUUUAUUAGGAAAUGCCUAUAGAUUCCAUUCACUCUAAUUGUUAUAAAAUAUAUUGUAUAUGAAUCUCAUAAUCAUGCUCUACACAUAUUCUUAUUUAUAAA